UAUUUUUAUUUUUAUUACCUCUUUUUGAUUUUUAUUCUACUUUGUCAAUACUAUAUAAGAUAUAUUAAUAUAUAAUAGUUUUUAAGAUUAAUUUUGUUCUUUAAGAUUACUUAAUAUAUUAUCUAUAUUAUUGUAUUAUAUAAAAAAAAAAAAAAAAAAAAAAAAAAAAAAAAAAAAAAAAAAAAAAAAAAAAAAAUACUCUUAUUAAAAAAAAAAAAAAAAAAAAAAAAAAAAAAAAAAAAAAAAAAAAAAAAAAAAAAAAAUACUCUUAUAAAAAAAAAAAAAAAAAAAAAAAAAAAAAAAAAAAAAAAAAAAAAAAAAAAAAAAAAAAAAAAAAAAAAAAAAAAAAAAUCAAUCAUUAUCAUAUAUAUAUUAAGAAAACAUUACAUUUUACUAUAUUAUAUUUAUACAAAAAAAAAAAAAAAAAAAAAAAAAAAAAAAAAAAAAAAAAAAAAAAAAAAAAAAAAAACAUAAAAAGACCAAUGUACGAUACUAC
Molecule: unclassified non-coding RNA, 496 nt
Filed under: Melitaea cinxia (Glanville fritillary)
Lineage: Eukaryota; Metazoa; Arthropoda; Insecta; Lepidoptera; Nymphalidae
Description: misc RNA ENSMCXG00005013172.1
Source: RNAcentral